AAGCGGUUCAUAAGGUUUCCAUACUUAAUUCCUGCCAGAACCGACCUCUAGCAACUAUAUAAGGAGGAGGGGAGCCCCUCUCAACCCACACUAAGAUACAAGUGAAGAAGAAGAGAUGUAGAGGGACUUCACCUUGAGCCUACUUAUAGGAUUAAUUAGGAUAGGGAGUGGGGAAGGAGAACUAUGGAGGAGUGCCGGGUUUGUCAGCAACCUUCUUUGGCUGGUACCUCGUUGGAUACGAAUCAUUUGAGGAUGUUCUACGAGAGAGAUUACCAAGACAUGGAGCAUUUAUUGAUGGAAAAUGGAUGGAUGAUGGUGCUCAAUUCCCAACGUAGGAAUAUCGCAAAUGGAUGGGACGUGUACGUUCUUAUGAUCGAGAAAGCAUGAAAAGUAUCUCACUAGGGUCACACAAUUUGACAAAACUCAAUAGAACAUUAAGCAGCAUAUGUUUAAGAUUUUUCAUGGACUGUAACAAAUGGCUCUGGUAUGACUUUGCUUAUCACUAGGGAACUUGCCUUUUUA
This is a long non-coding RNA of Panicum virgatum (switchgrass), 522 nucleotides long. RefSeq lists it as uncharacterized. The transcript has 2 exons. The record is from RefSeq and is a predicted model, not a curated record. NCBI's taxonomy places the organism in Eukaryota, Viridiplantae, Streptophyta, Magnoliopsida, Poales, Poaceae.